RNAcentral lists this long non-coding RNA (277 nucleotides) under Homo sapiens (human). Its description in RNAcentral is "non-protein coding lnc-SIGLEC8-1:1". The record is from RNAcentral. Lineage: Eukaryota; Metazoa; Chordata; Mammalia; Primates; Hominidae.
GACUCAUAUACCCAACAUUCUCAUCCUGGAGACCCUAGAGUCCAGCCACCUCUGAAACCUGACCUGAUCUGUGCGCUGGGCCUAUAAGCAGGAGACACCCCCUUAUCAUUUCCUGGAUGUCAGCUGCCCCCACUUCUCUGAGCCCCAGGACCACCCAUUCCUUGGCGUUCACAAUCACCUCAAGGCUCCAGGACCAUGGCACCAACCUGACCUGUCAGGUGAAGUUUCUCAGAGCUGGUGUGACUGCAGAGAGAACCAUCCAGCUCAAUGUCUCCUA